Molecule: transfer RNA, 67 nt
Filed under: Paegniodes cupulatus
Lineage: Eukaryota; Metazoa; Arthropoda; Insecta; Ephemeroptera; Heptageniidae
Description: tRNA-Ile
Source: RNAcentral
AAUGAAGUGCCUGAUUAAAGGGUUACCUUGAUAGGGUAAAUCAAGUAGGGUCCUCCUACCUUCAUUA